This 499-nucleotide ribosomal RNA is filed under the name uncultured bacterium. Its description in RNAcentral is "partial 16S ribosomal RNA". It matches the Rfam family "Bacterial small subunit ribosomal RNA", at positions 30 to 523 of the family's 1533-position model. The record is from RNAcentral.
AUUGAACGCUGGCGGCAGGCCUAACACAUGCAAGUCGAGCGGAUGACGGGAGCUUGCUCCUUGAUUCAGCGGCGGACGGGUGAGUAAUGCCUAGGAAUCUGCCUGGUAGUGGGGGACAACGUUUCGAAAGGAACGCUAAUACCGCAUACGUCCUACGGGUGAAAGCAGGGGACCUUCGGGCCUUGCGCUAUCAGAUGAUCCUAGGUCGGAUUAGCUUGUUGGUGAGGUAAUGGCUCACCAAGGCGACGAUCCGUAAAUGGUCUGAGAGGAUGAUCAGUCACGCUGGAACUGAGACACGGUCCAGACUCCUACGGGAGGCAGCAGUGGGAAUAUUGGACAAUGGGCGAAAGCCUGAUCCAGCCAUGCCGCGUGUGUGAAGAAGGUCUUCGGAUUGUAAAGCACUUUAAGUUGGGAGGAAGGGUUGUAGAUUAAUACUCUGCAAUUUUGACGUUACCGACAGAAUAAGCACCGGCUAACUCAGUGCCAGCCGCCGCCGUAA